GAUGAAGAACGCAGCGAAAUGCGAUAAGUAGUGUGAAUUGCAGAAUUCAGUGAAUCAUCGAAUCUUUGAACGCACAUUGCGCCCUUUGGUAUUCCAUAGGGCAUAUCUGUUCGAGCGUCAUUUGGACCCUCAAGCCCUGCUUGGUGUUGGGCGCUUGUCCCGCCUCUGCGCGCAGGACUCGCCUUAAAUCCAUCGGUGCAGCACUGCCAGCCUCGAACGCAGCAGAGACGUGUUUCGAAGCUGGGAGCCUGCAUGCCGUAGCCUCAUUUCGCAACCUUGACCUCGGAUCAGAUAGGGAUACCCGCUGAACUUAAGCAUAUCAAUAAGCCGGAGGA
This 335-nucleotide unclassified non-coding RNA is filed under the name soil metagenome. RNAcentral's name for it is "partial contains 5.8S ribosomal RNA, internal transcribed spacer 2, and large subunit ribosomal RNA". The stretch from base 1 to 120 matches the Rfam family "5.8S ribosomal RNA", at positions 35 to 154 of the family's 154-position model. The record is from RNAcentral.